RNAcentral lists this ribosomal RNA (566 nucleotides) under uncultured Enterococcus sp. RNAcentral describes it as "bacterial SSU rRNA". It matches the Rfam family "Bacterial small subunit ribosomal RNA", at positions 64 to 619 of the family's 1533-position model. The record is from RNAcentral. Lineage: Bacteria; Bacillati; Bacillota; Bacilli; Lactobacillales; Enterococcaceae.
GAGUGCUUGCACUCAAUUGGAAAGAGGAGUGGCGGACGGGUGAGUAACACGUGGGUAACCUACCCAUCAGAGGGGGAUAACACUUGGAAACAGGUGCUAAUACCGCAUAACAGUUUAUGCCGCAUGGCAUAAGAGUGAAAGGCGCUUUCGGGUGUCGCUGAUGGAUGGACCCGCGGUGCAUUAGCUAGUUGGUGAGGUAACGGCUCACCAAGGCCACGAUGCAUAGCCGACCUGAGAGGGUGAUCGGCCACACUGGGACUGAGACACGGCCCAGACUCCUACGGGAGGCAGCAGUAGGGAAUCUUCGGCAAUGGACGAAAGUCUGACCGAGCAACGCCGCGUGAGUGAAGAAGGUUUUCGGAUCGUAAAACUCUGUUGUUAGAGAAGAACAAGGACGUUAGUAACUGAACGUCCCCUGACGGUAUCUAACCAGAAAGCCACGGCUAACUACGUGCCAGCAGCCGCGGUAAUACGUAGGUGGCAAGCGUUGUCCGGAUUUAUUGGGCGUAAAGCGAGCGCAGGCGGUUUCUUAAGUCUGAUGUGAAAGCCCCCGGCUCAACCGGGGA